GAUGAACGCUGGCGGCGUGCCUAGUACAUGCAAGUCGAGCGAACAGACGAGGAGCUUGCUCCUCUGACGUUAGCGGCGGACGGGUGAGUAACACGUGGAUAACCUACCUAUAAGACUGGGAUAACUUCGGGAAACCGGAGCUAAUACCGGAUAAUAUAUUGAACCGCAUGGUUCAAUAGUGAAAGACGGUUUUGCUGUCACUUAUAGAUGGAUCCGCGCCGCAUUAGCUAGUUGGUAAGGUAACGGCUUACCAAGGCGACGAUGCGUAGCCGACCUGAGAGGGUGAUCGGCCACACUGGAACUGAGACACGGUCCAGACUCCUACGGGAGGCAGCAGUAGGGAAUCUUCCGCAAUGGGCGAAAGCCUGACGGAGCAACGCCGCGUGAGUGAUGAAGGUCUUCGGAUCGUAAAACUCUGCUAUUAGGGAAGAACAAAUGUGUAAGUAACUAUGCACGUCUUGACGGUACCUAAUCAGAAAGCCACGGCUAACUACGUG
RNAcentral lists this ribosomal RNA (497 nucleotides) under uncultured bacterium. RNAcentral describes it as "partial 16S ribosomal RNA". It matches the Rfam family "Bacterial small subunit ribosomal RNA", at positions 28 to 507 of the family's 1533-position model. The record is from RNAcentral.